Molecule: ribosomal RNA, 330 nt
Filed under: uncultured bacterium
Lineage: Bacteria
Description: bacterial SSU rRNA
Rfam family: Bacterial small subunit ribosomal RNA
Source: RNAcentral
UCCGUAGGCGGUGCGGCAAGUCGGUAGUGAAAUCUCAGGGCUUAACCCUGAGGCUGCUUCCGAAACUGCCGUGCUCGAGUGCGAGAGAGGCGAGUGGAAUUGCAGGUGUAGCGGUGAAAUGCGUAGAUAUCUGCAGGAACAUCCGAGGCGAAAGCGGCUCGCUGGAUCGCAACUGACGCUGAGGGACGAAAGCUAGGGGAGCAAACAGGAUUAGAUACCCUGGUAGUCCUAGCCCUAAACGAUUAGGACUGGGCGUGGGCCUCGUACGGGGCUCGUGCCGCAGCUAACGCGUUAAGUCCUGCGCCUGGGGAGUACGGUCGCAAGGCUGAA